Molecule: ribosomal RNA, 429 nt
Filed under: Verrucomicrobiota bacterium
Lineage: Bacteria; Pseudomonadati; Verrucomicrobiota
Description: Verrucomicrobia bacterium partial 16S ribosomal RNA
Rfam family: Bacterial small subunit ribosomal RNA
Source: RNAcentral
UAGGGAAUCUUCGGCAAUGGGGGGAACCCUGACCGAGCAACGCCGCGUGAGUGAAGAAGGUUUUCGGAUCGUAAAGCUCUGUUGUUAAGGAAGAACGAGUGUGAGAAUGGAAAGUUCAUGCUGUGACGGUACUUAACCAGAAAGGGACGGCUAACUACGUGCCAGCAGCCGCGGUAAUACGUAGGUCCCGAGCGUUGUCCGGAUUUAUUGGGCGUAAAGCGAGCGCAGGCGGUUAGAAAAGUCUGAAGUGAAAGGCAGUGGCUCAACCAUUGUAGGCUUUGGAAACUGUUUAACUUGAGUGCAGAAGGGGAGAGUGGAAUUCCAUGUGUAGCGGUGAAAUGCGUAGAUAUAUGGAGGAAUACCGGUGGCGAAGGCGACUUGCUGGACUUUUACUGAUGCUCAGGUACGAAAGCGUGGGGAGCAAACAGG